This 246-nucleotide ribosomal RNA is filed under the name uncultured bacterium. RNAcentral's name for it is "partial 16S ribosomal RNA". It matches the Rfam family "Bacterial small subunit ribosomal RNA", at positions 87 to 334 of the family's 1533-position model. The record is from RNAcentral.
UAUGGCGACCGGCGCACGGGUGAGUAACACGUAUCCAACCUGCCGAUGACUCGGGGAUAGCCUUUCGAAAGAAAGAUUAAUACCCGAUGGCAUAGUUCUUCCGCAUGGUAGAACUAUUAAAGAAUUUCGGUCAUCGAUGGGGAUGCGUUCCAUUAGGUUGUUGGCGGGGUAACGGCUCACCAAACCUUCGAUGGAUAGGGGUUCUGAGAGGAAGGUCCCCCACAUUGGAACUGAGACACGGUCCAA